Molecule: ribosomal RNA, 253 nt
Filed under: uncultured bacterium
Lineage: Bacteria
Description: partial 16S ribosomal RNA
Rfam family: Bacterial small subunit ribosomal RNA
Source: RNAcentral
UACGUAGGUGGCGAGCGUUGUCCGGAUUUACUGGGCGUAAAGGGCGCGUAGGUGGCCUGCCAAGUCCAUCGUGAAAGGUUGCGGCCCAACUGCAACAGUGCGGUGGAUACUGGUGGGCUUGAGGGCAGCAGAGGCCGGUGGAAUUCCCGGUGGAGUGGUGAAAUGCGUAGAUAUCGGGAGGAACACCAGAGGCGAAGGCGGCCGGCUGGGCUGUACCUGACGCUGAGGCGCGAAAGCGUGGGGAGCGAACCGG